AGGGCGGGUCGUGUGUCAGUGUAUUUAUAUCUUAGCUAUAUUGCACACUUCCCGGCCUUU
Molecule: microRNA precursor, 60 nt
Filed under: Drosophila melanogaster (fruit fly)
Lineage: Eukaryota; Metazoa; Arthropoda; Insecta; Diptera; Drosophilidae
Description: Dme-Mir-92-P5_pre stem-loop
Rfam family: mir-310 microRNA precursor family
Source: RNAcentral